AAUUUGUUAAUGGAUACCACAAAUCCUUGUUUUUUUGCUUUUGUAUUUUUGUGAAUCAUUAUUAGUUCUUUAACUGUUAACUGAUCUAUCCUAUUUUCCACUGAUAGGUGUUUUCAAAUAUUAAAAUUCACGAACAAUAAAUGUAAUGGUUAUAUUUAGAGUGGUAUAAGUAACAAUAAAUACAUUGUUACUUAUAAACCAUAUAAACAAAACGCUCUCUCUUCUCUCUAGAAACAAGCUCGCCGCCGUCUAAGGUUUCUGGUUCCGGUGGCUUUCUCAGCAUCAGAGCUGGAUGUCUCUUUCUAAUUAAUUGGUUCAACUACUUGUCUCUGUUCUCACCGUCAAGUUCAGCUUUAGAUCUGACCGUCUUCAAGGCAGAGGCAGUCUCUAACCGUUUCUCCACCGCCUCAGAUGAAGAAAAUUCACCACCGUAGAUCUAGAUCUCCUUCCUGAUUCCAAAAGUCGCUCAUCUUGAAGAGCCUCUAGGCUUUAUUUGUUGUAUCACCGUCUCUGGUUGUUCAGCUAUGGAGCAACAUAACGAGGUCGCACGGCACACUCAUUCGAUUCUAACUCUAUGUAAAGGAGAAUCUUGUUUUGUAUUCCGUUUAAAUGUUCUUUCUUGUCUCAGAUCUAUUUUUAAUUUUCAAAGAUUAAGAUUUAUUUUUCUAUUUUUGAAUCUCUAGAGUCUGUUCCGGAAAGUUUUUGAAUGAAUGUUGUGUUUCUUU
Molecule: long non-coding RNA, 725 nt
Organism: Camelina sativa (false flax)
Lineage: Eukaryota; Viridiplantae; Streptophyta; Magnoliopsida; Brassicales; Brassicaceae
Source: RefSeq, a predicted model, not a curated record